UGAAGCCGCAAUCAAACACCGGGAAAAUGAUAACUAAGAGUAUCCCAGAAAAUGCUCUAAAAUGAUCCCAAUCAGUCUAAUUUACUGAAUUAUUUUUAAACAGAGCUAUUCAAGCUAUCUGGGGAAUUUACUUAUACAUAUCGCAAUAUAAAUCACAGCAAAACAAAUGAUCGCAUAUCAAAUUUUUUUUACUAAGUAUUAAUUUCUGUACUUUUGUCACACAUAUAUGCCGCAAUCUGUGAACACACGCACACAAGGCUGAGCGAUUCCUUUAAACCAUCUACUGUCUACUAGUUUCCAGGACGUCCCCUCCUGCCUUUAAACCUGACAAUCCGAUCUAAUCUGCAUUGCAUUUGAUGUGCAGGUCCCCUCAGCUCAGCUCGGCCCGGCACCACGUCUGCACAGGAGUCGUUGGCUGCUUUUUGGAGGCUUUAAAAGGAAUACGGCCUCUUUAAUCUGCCUGCCUUCUCCUGGAGCCUCGGGCAAGCCUGCAGGAUGGUCUCUCACUCUCUCUGUCUCUCUUUCUCUCUCUCCACUUCCGCUCUUUUCUCAUUCUAUCUCUCUCUCUCUCUCUGCGCCAGGCCCUCUGUCCUUCAGUUCUGUUAAAUCACUUGGAUCCCUUCCAUAAUAGCAGCUACCUUUCAGAUACCCUUUACCCAGCGUGGCCUCACUUCCAGCAGGAGGGGUGGAGGGUGUCACUGUCAUAUAAAAAGAUUCAGUGUGUUGGCAUCAUUCAGCCUGUUAUACUGAGCAGAGCAAAGAUGGUUGACGCUGUUCAUCCACAAGAUGGCGACAGAGACAACAUGAUAACCAAUCUAAAGAGAAAAGAUCGAAGUAUUUUUAAACGACAGAUGAUCAAAACAUUAUAAAAUUGGUGACAUUCUAAGUCGAUCUCUCUCUUUUUUAUGUUGCAGUGCUUUAUUUAUACUAUAGUAAUUGUUGUGUAUUGAGUGUGAGGACUGGGGCUCACAUAUCAGGAAUGUAUGUAUCUUUGUAUAACCCUGACUUUUUGGUUGUCUAUCUUUGUUUCUCAUGCGUCUCCUGUUUUCAUUAAUGCAGACUAGUUCA
Molecule: non-coding RNA, 1068 nt
Organism: Danio rerio (zebrafish)
Lineage: Eukaryota; Metazoa; Chordata; Actinopteri; Cypriniformes; Danionidae
Source: RefSeq, a predicted model, not a curated record